AGUCAAUGAUGUCAGAAUUUGUCCGUACCAUCUGAGCAUUAAUCUUUGAUGAGACUGUUUACAAAUUUCUGGGGCCA
Small nucleolar RNA from Papaver somniferum (opium poppy), 77 nucleotides. RefSeq annotates it as small nucleolar RNA snoR117. The record is from RefSeq and is a predicted model, not a curated record. The transcript has a single exon. NCBI's taxonomy places the organism in Eukaryota, Viridiplantae, Streptophyta, Magnoliopsida, Ranunculales, Papaveraceae.